Phalacrocorax carbo (great cormorant) is the source of this 710-nucleotide non-coding RNA. Lineage: Eukaryota; Metazoa; Chordata; Aves; Suliformes; Phalacrocoracidae. The record is from RefSeq and is a predicted model, not a curated record.
GCGGAGGCGGCGGGGCCGGCUGGGACGCGGACGGACUCACCUGCCCAGGCGCCCAGCGCCGGCCCGACGGCGGCGGCGCCGCUGCCCAGCACCCAGAGACGGAAGCCGGCCAGCAGGCGAGGACCAGGCAAUAGAGAGAUGGGAUACAGCAAAAGCAUCUGAAAAGAGAAAAGGAACCAGUUUGGCUCUGGUAAGAGAUCUGCUUACAAGUCAAAGACAACACAAGAGCUGAAGUGAGGGAUGGAAGGUAACACUGUGAUCCCCAGGGUCACCACAUGUCGACAACAGGAGUGGCCUGGGCAGCUGGACAGCAUACACAAGCUGGAGGAAAGGAGAUGGGUGUUGGGCAACCUGCUGAAGGGAGCAGGCAGCUUCCUACUGGAUGUCUGUGGAAGCCAUGCCAGAGUUACCACAGGGAUGCUGCCAGUUACAGAUGGGUCAGAAAGAGGGAAGGAAGUAUAUGGGUGCUAUGAAAGAUGCGCUGGCCUUUGCCAGAGCCUACCCGUCUGUUAUUACAACGCCUACUACCCACUGUACUGCAGUUGUGCUGCUCCUGAGACCUCUUAUCUGAACAACCUCUAGUUGCAGGUCAGGAUAGAACCUGCUCUGCUCUUCUCUCAGGGAACCAAUAAAUCCCUUGACAGAGAAGCACAGAUACUGCAAGGCAGUUUUCAAGUUUUCUGUAUUAAAAAAUAAUACUGGUUAUUCAA